GCUGCGGGCCGUGACUGGCGCGUCGGGAUGGGACCAACCAUCGGGGAGCGGCCUUCGCCGUCGCGCGAUGCUGGAGAGCCGUGCGCCUGGGCCAUCGCG
Molecule: non-coding RNA, 99 nt
Filed under: Streptomyces xiamenensis
Lineage: Bacteria; Bacillati; Actinomycetota; Actinomycetes; Kitasatosporales; Streptomycetaceae
Description: ZTP sequence
Rfam family: ZMP/ZTP riboswitch aptamer (pfl RNA motif)
About the family: Previously known as pfl RNA. ZMP is also known as AICAR.
Source: RNAcentral